RNAcentral lists this ribosomal RNA (449 nucleotides) under uncultured bacterium. RNAcentral describes it as "partial 16S ribosomal RNA". It matches the Rfam family "Bacterial small subunit ribosomal RNA", at positions 354 to 796 of the family's 1533-position model. The record is from RNAcentral.
AUCGAGAAUCUUUCACAAUGGGGGCAACCCUGAUGGAGCGACGCCGCGUGGAGGAUAAGGUCUUCGGAUUGUAAACUCCUGUCAUGCGUGAACAAGGUUGCUUGGUUAAUACCUGGGCAAAUUGAUGGUAACGCAAGAGGAAGAGACGGCUAACUCUGUGCCAGCAGCCGCGGUAAUACAGAGGUCUCAAGCGUUGUUCGGAAUCACUGGGCGUAAAGGGUGCGUAGGUGGCGUGGUAAGUCAGAUGUGAAAGCCCGGGGCUCAACCUCGGAACUGCAUCCGAUACUGCCAUGCUAGAGUACUGGAGAGGUGACGAGAAUUCUCGGUGUAGCAGUGAAAUGCGUAGAUAUCGAGAGGAAUACCAAAGGCGUAGGCAGGUCACUGGACAGUUACUGACACUGAGGCACGAAGGCCAGGGGAGCGAACGGGAUUAGAAACCCUGGUAGUCC